UUUCCGUAGGUGAACCUGCGGAAGGAUCAUUAUCGAAUCAUAGGCAAAGGUUGUCGCUGGCCCCUCCCGUGGGGCAUGUGCACGCCUAGCUCUCAAUCCACUUACACCCGUGAACCCAAUGUGGGAUGCGUCCUUCGGGAUGGAAUCUCAUGUCUUUCAUAUACCCUUAUGUAUGUCGUGGAAUGUCUCAUAGUCGCUUUAACGCGAUCAUAUACAACUUUCAACAACGGAUCUCUUGGCUCUC
This 244-nucleotide unclassified non-coding RNA is filed under the name root metagenome. RNAcentral's name for it is "partial contains small subunit ribosomal RNA, internal transcribed spacer 1, and 5.8S ribosomal RNA". The record is from RNAcentral.